GAUCUAUAAAGCAAGCCUGAUUGCAGUGUGCUGUAACUCUCUUUAAUCAACCAGAAGAUAUCCCGUGACAACAAGAACUGCUUCAUUUAUUAAAUCUAUUUUAGGCUAAUUACUCCAAUUUAUAAUAUAUACAUAGAAUUGUAAUAUACCUAAGUAAUUUUACUAAUUGUAUGAAUAUGCAUAUAAUUUCAAUGUUUUAUAAAACCGUAACUGUAAGAGAGUAUACUAUUUGCUUAGAUUUGCGUCAGUGUGAUAUUUUCUUGUUUUACGAUGAUGACAUAUCAUUAUAUUUUUCUCAAAAGGCUGCAAAAUGUAUUCAUAAUAUGCUGAGAAGUGCAUUAAAACUACUGAGAUAAUGUGGCUGCUUAAAUAUACUACCUGUUUUCAUGAUUUUAAAAAAAAUUAAAAUUGUUAUUCAGUUUCGUUUGAGCACAAUAAAACAAAUCAUUAAACGUAUUACUUUAGAGCUGAUAUAUUUGUAUUUUUUGUAUUUAUUUUUGCUGAUGUACUUCAGUGGUAGUUAAUUCAUAUACAUAAUAUGUGGAUUUAAAAGCAGGACCUGCUGUGGUCCCACAUGAAGGACUCAUUACCUAGUACACAUUUAAAGAUCAUCAUUGCCAUGGUACUGCCAUUAAUUAUUUAAUUGUUGAUUGAAUCAUGAUUUUAAUGAUGCAGGUGUUUUAAGCAGAAGACUACUGUUUGAAUGAGAAAUUUGGUGUAAAGUACCUGGUGUGCUAUGCAUUGUGGAUGUCCAGGGUGCCGAUCUACAACUAUGGCAUAUUAUUUACCAAAAAUAUUUAACCUACUAGCUUUGGGAAUAACAAUCCAACUCAUAAAUAUCAGUUUUAUAGUUCACAUGUUUAUUGAAUCUUAUUUAUCUAACACUGAGUAAAGAAAACAUAUACUGUUAAACAAUAGAGCCACUGAAACUGUUAUAGCUCUAAUUUCUGCUAUAUUAAGCACAGUAAAAUUAGAGAUUGAAAUGCUGAGCUUAAUGCAAAAAAAUUAAAGAAAUAAAAAAAUCAAAGAAUGCCUUCUUGUUCAACUGAAAUUUCAAGUAAAACUGAAAGACAGGUUUUAAUAGAUUUCAUUUUCAUCAGGGAACGGAAUACAUUUAAUUUAUUCACAGAGACAAUGAAACACUGAAGGCACAAUUAAAACAGGGGCAACAGAAAUGACUCCCAUGUUCAUUAACUAUACAGUUGUCUAUUGAAUGUCAUUAAUAGCAAACUACGGUUUUACUGUAAACAGUUCACACAGUAAGGCACAUUUUCAUUAUCCAGCAUUCUGCACAGCCUGCACAAUAAAUACUUAGCAUAUGCCCUUUGCAGUUUAGAAAAUACACAUUGUUCAGUUUUAUACAGAUUGUCAUGUUUAUUCAAGAAGCAAAACAGGUUAUAUAUGAGUUUUCUAAUAUCAUAUGCUUUACUUGUUUUGAUUGUCCGCUAUGAGAUAGCCAGAAGCAGUCAUUAUAUAUCAGGGACCAGAGUAGGUGAUCUAUAUGAGAAUGGCCAGGGACUUUGGAAUAGGAUAUACUCUCCAUUCGGUUCAAUCUUGUCCUCAACAUAGUCCCUAGAAAAAAAGAAGAAAAAUUAAAUGGCUUACUAUGAACAUUUUCAACUCUGACACAACACACAGUUGGUUCAUCAACAUGAUUACACAAUGUAUACAGACAUUUGAUUAAAACAGUAGAGCUUGUAAUCUACCAAUUUCAUAUAACCUUUAUUACCCCAAAAAAGUCCCAGAGUAUUAACUCUAUGCUUUUGGAAGGGAGAACCAACCCCUUAAUCAGUUCUUUGCCAUUCCAGAUUGACUCAGCAAGAGAGAGAACAUGCCUGCUCUGACAUUGACAGAAUCCCAGGAAGCAUGUUAUGUGUAAUAAAUUCUCUCAAAAUCAAGAGAUGUCUAAAGAUCCAGUAGCAUUAUAAAGUUUGGUCUCUAUGCACAGUAAAUAAGUGGAAAUUGAUAUUCUGAGUGACGCUUUUAUGCCAAGCACUAAAACUAUAUUGUGGUUGUAAUUUAUGCCAUCUGAUAAGUUGGCAAAUAUGAAUUUUUUAAGAAAUGUGCAUGUUUGCUCAAUUUCAUAAAUGUGGUAGCAUGCAUCAAUGAUCAUGUUUUACUGGAACUGUACAAUACGUUUUUAUAUUUUGGAGUGUUCUUACAUAUCAUUUCAACUUGAAAUUUUACUUUAUUUUGUUGUAAUGUUGUUUAAUACUGAUCAAUACAUUUUCAGUCCGUCAAAAUGAUUAAUAAUUCAAGCUCCUCUACAUGAUCAACUGGCAAUGUCAUCCCCCCCCCCCUUUUUUUACUCUUCUUCUGUUUUUCCUGUUCGCCUCACAAAGUCAUAAAAAACACUGCUGUACCUCAUCAUGCCCGAGUACUAUGUAGUGGUGCCAUUACCAAUUUGACCAAAUUAUAUGUAGAGAGGCUUCUGGACAAUUUAAUCCCUCCAGGAAACUUGGUGAGACCUCUUUCUCUGUUAAUUUUCACCCUCUCCCUCAUUCAAGCAAGCUCUCUCUUUCUCUGCCUCCACAAUGUGGGGUUUCUUUCUUUCUUUUUUUAUGUUCCCUUAUAUCGUUUUUCCCUCCCCAGCUUCCACCCCAAGCCCUCAGACAGCAUGCAGCUUAUGCAAAUCAUUGGCCUUUUAUUCUUGAUACUCGUCCUCCGACUUCAAUGAGACCUCAAGAAAACACAGCCUCACAUGCGUGCUCUCUCUCUCUCACACACACACACACACACACACACACACACACACUCUGUUAAGAUUUUCUUUCUCACCAAAAUUCUCCCAAGCUACUGUACACUGUACACACACACACACACUCACACACACACACACACACACACACACACACACACACACGCACAGAGCUCAGCAUUAUUGUGUUACACUACCAAUAAAUGAAAACAUUUACUAUAAUUAUCCAUAAGCCCAAUCACAAUGCUCUGUGGAAAGCAAAAUCACACUGAAGAAAAGUAUUUAAAUAUCCUCACGAUAUAGCCCAUAUUAUUUAACUUUGAACAUUUCCUGGUUUGCUUUUGAAAAGUGCUUCUCUUAUAUUUGAAUGUAAUGCAGUAACUGAUGUCCAGUUCAGUUUCUAUAGCUGUAUCAGUGUAUUAGGAAAGCUUGGCCAGCGUCAUAGACUACCAAACAUUCAUAUAAACAUGUACAGACAACAAUGUGCCCUUGUUAACUAACCCACAAUUUGUAUAAAAGUGGAGUCUAGUCUUUCAGCUGCACUGUCGUUGUUGUUUUUUUUUUUUUUACCAAAAGCUGAUCAGACAUUGGGGAGUGAGACUCAGUAGAUGGAGAUAGACUAGACACUUAAGAUAAGGGGGGGCUGUUUACCAAAGUCACUGUGAGAGGGAGAGGGAGGGCCUGAUGAAUAUAAAGUGCUCAUUGCAAAGCUGACUUUCCCAGGCCCUGGAAAUGCACCCACACUCACACUGUAGUUGUGCCCAGCUGCUAGGGAUGGCGUGUGGAGUGUGUAUGUGGGUGCGGGGGGCAACUAGCCUGACUUCCCUCAGACACUUUGACAGGCCAGCCUUUUCAGCAACAAAUUUCUGGGCCUGUCUGCCCCCUCUCCCUUGGCGACUGCCCUGUGCUGAGAGCCCCCUCCCUUUAGUUGGGGGUGGAUGGGAACACAAAGUUGACAGAACAAGAUGAAGAAGUACCCGGUCUGUCUGGGCUUGGCUAGACAUCCCUCCGAAUGAACUUGAACUUGACUCUGGUGCAGAAGCUCAAAGAGACAGUAUCGAAUUACUUGUGUAAAUUUAUUGUGUUUAUUUAAUUUAAAGAGGUAUCAGGCUUAAUUAUAAGUGUGAUGGGAACCAAUUAUACAACUCGUAGAUUAUUUAACUGUAACCAAUUUGAGUUUACAGAAAAAAACGUGUAUUCUCAUUUGCCAUCUAGAAAAAAUAUUUAGCUUUUCUUAUAUUGUUGGAUCCACUAGCAAAUUCAUGAACAUAUACCCUAGUUUUAAGCAUUCUGUAACUCAUAUUAUCUCAUAAUGCAGCAAUCGGUGCUCAGUGUAUCUCCUUCUUUUAGGAUUUGAGCUGAAGUCAGAGAUUGACUAUAAUUUCUGCAGCUCUAUCAUUGUGUAACACAGCAGAACUCUAAAUCAGUUUCUAGACAAACCGUAUAAAUGUCUAUUAUUAUGGACACGUACAGAAAACAUGUUUAUCGUAAUGGGUGCAAAAAGCUUAGAAAAUACCGGUUAGCAAAGAAAAAGGCAUUUAGGUGAUUUUAUUUCAGUAUAUAUUUUUCUUGCAAAGUAGUACCAUAGGUAUGGUAGUGGCGCCAUUAUAACUCAUUUUAGGUAGGAUUGGAGCCUGGUCAUAGGAGUAACAUCUGUGCAAUUUCUAUAAAUAUUAUAAUAAAUAUAAUAAGCUACAGUGGAAACAUUAUCACAGUUAGCAUCACUGUCAUGGUGAACGCAAAAUCGUUAGCCUCCAAACUAAGUCUGCCAACCCAUGUUCCUGUAUGUUCGAAGACCAGCACAUUUGGUGAGUUCCCUGUUCUAGCAAACUUGGCCAACAAACCCAUCUCAGAAUGCAAUUAAUGAUCUGGGAUCACCAGCAGAAGAACCUUCUUACCUUCAUACAUGGUUAUGCUCACACUACAAAAAAUUACAUUUUAGCAAAGUGAAAAUAUCUUAAAUAUAGUUAAAUUGAUCUAGUAUUUCAUAUUACAUAUGAAAUAAAUACAUAAAUAGGUUUACUAAUUUUGUAUAUUGUCUAUUGUAAUCUUAAAAUAAAAUUAAAUUUGACUAUAUAUUCAAGAUAUUUUCAGUUGCUGUCAUUUUUUUCUUGCAGUGUAGGAAUUCCAUGGCAAAACUUUCACGGCCAGUUGGCCAGUGACGAGGCACAGAAAUGGGAACUGGCCGUUUGAAAGCACCCCUGUAGCCGAUAUAUAGCUGAGAACAAGCAUGACAUCUCAGGAUAAUCACUUUUAUGCUGGGAUUAAAACAGGAUCGGCAGCUGAGGUAGGCACAAUGGAUGAAAAAGGGAUUUCACCAUAAAACAUCCUUACAGAGAAAUCCCAGAGGUGGUUUGGUGAGAUUCUUACUGUGUUGACUGAUCAGUAAGGUGGUUGUAGGUAUCUUUAUAUCUUGUCAAAAUUCUGUGGUCUGCAUCUAGGGCAUGUACUAAACACAUGAUGACAUGUAUCACAAACCUAGAUGAACAUGAACAUAAAUAGGGUAGUUUUGAGACCUUCAGUGAUGCAAUAACAGGUGUGUGUAAGGUAAUGCGUUAUUGCAAUUGUGUCAUUUCCGCCAUGUAACACAUCAUGGAUGUGUCAUCAGUAUCAUAAUACUGAAAACAGAUUUCCCUGUGUUAAAUUAAAAGUGGUUAUGAUAUUAAAAUUGAACAAAAAUCUUUAUAUUACUGGACAUGAAAGAUGACAUAUUAAGUUUGGGGGGCUUGACUGCAGGCAGGAGGGGGGUCUGCUGGAAAUGAUGUUAGUAUGCCAGACAAAUAUUCCCAGAUAGUCGGCUCCCAUAGGCCUUUGCUAUUAGCAUGCCAGCUGCAGCAUCUGCCACAUGGGGCCACAGGCAGAGCCAGAGAGUAAGGCCCUCCUGCCCCUCCCCAUACAGCAGAUAUCACCCUCCACUCCUCACCACAUACACAGUGGACCCAAAGGUUCCCAGCAUACAAACACCAACCCCAUCAUGUUAUUAUCUUAGAUUUGUUCUUAAUAAUGUCCUUAUUUAAUCUGGUCAAAGGGAGACAACCCAAGGGUCCAGAUUGUCUCUCAGGGUUUGGCCGCUAAUUUAGGCAUCUGGCUCCGUCUGGGACUGAGCAUCUUUCCCAGUCUAGUGCCUCCUGUGUCUCUCACUCCCCAUCUAUGCUGACAAUGGUGGGAAAAAGGGGCACCAUAGAAUCACGUCAAGAGCUACACUCACAAUGCUGCUAUUGUAGAGGGCAGACGAGGAUCAGAAUAAUAAUGCAGUAACGUCUAACUGUUUACCAACAUGUACCCUACAGCUGUAGACUUCACCCCACUCCAAGCCAACCAUCUACAGUGAAAUAAACUAGAAUUUAACACCCAGGUAGGUUUUUUUGUGUCAUGAUAUGUAAUUUACGGACUGAUUUUCCAGCACAUCAUUUGUUGGAUAAUGUUUAGAAAGCCAUAAAUGCAUUUUUUUUGUUUUGACACUGAACAAUUUGCUGUUUAUUAUACAGAGUGGAAAGGUCUGGCAUUGCCAGGUCUUCUGAAUACACACAUACACACACACACACACAUUAGCACACACACAUUUGUAUUGCUAUGCUUUUGAGGUCCUUCUACAGAUGCUAAUUAUUAAUGCAGCUAAUUAAUACUAUGCCUACACUAACACCAGAUAUUCUUAUCCUUGUGGCUACAUUUAAUCCCCACCAAGAUAUAAAAUUAUUAAAGACAAAGACAACCAACGUACUGCACUACACAUGAAGAUUAUUAC
This is a long non-coding RNA of Ictalurus punctatus (channel catfish), 6443 nucleotides long. NCBI's taxonomy places the organism in Eukaryota, Metazoa, Chordata, Actinopteri, Siluriformes, Ictaluridae. The record is from Ensembl.